Pipra filicauda (Wire-tailed manakin) is the source of this 910-nucleotide long non-coding RNA. RefSeq lists it as uncharacterized. The transcript has 2 exons. The record is from RefSeq and is a predicted model, not a curated record. Lineage: Eukaryota; Metazoa; Chordata; Aves; Passeriformes; Pipridae.
CUACCUAGCAGGUGAACAAGGGAACAGACCAUUUUUUGGGGGGAGAAAAGUAAACAUGAAAAUUAAGGCAAAGUGCAAGCAUCACAAAUUGAAGAGGUUGGAGAAAAAAUGUUGUAUUCAUUAUAAGAACAAGUAUAAAGUAACUACCCUGUGCAUAAUUUACAUCAUGGGUGUUGCGCAAACAAAAAUAUCCACAAAAUCUUACCCUUUUAAUGAUUUUUUUUCUUAAUUGCAGAUUAAUGGGCUGGUAAUUUGUCCCUGUGAUCUGCUUUUAAAAGCUGAGCAAGAAAACACUAGAAUGCUCCAAAUAUGCUGUUGUCUUCUUUUCAAGGCAGAAUUGUAGAAAAGCCUGGACCAGAAGAUAUCACACAGACACAGCGACCUUCAAGCCCAGAACUUUGGAGGAGCUCCAAGGACUGUAUGUGCUGCAACAAAGAUGAAGAUGAGGAAGAAGGGGUCCCAAAGACCCCAAACCCAAUUCUCAGAGGGGCGUGUCGGGGGGCAGAACUGGGCAGAGCCAGUGAGUGGACAGAUCUCAGAUUGGAUAGACCUUGUUAUAAAAUCAUAGAACCACUCUCUGGGAGGCGCGCGUGACGUGUAUUCCCCUGUCCUGAGGCUUCAUUAAAGGACCUACUCUCUUUAUCUUAUCUUAUACACUAAAUUGGCCUGGAGUCUUUUUCUCCACACUCUUUUUAGGCAACAAGAUAAUAAUACCAAAUUCUUAAAGUCACUGAAAAUAUUCCUCACUGAAAAUGUUCUUCACAGUGGCAGAUCUCAGCUUUGCACAAUUUAGAGCUUCUCUGCCAGACCCCAAACCAUAGUAUGAGAAGAUUUUACUUUACAGCCAAGGAAGAUGCACCCUAAUUGACUCUGAGUCAAUUAUGGUGUGAAAAUAUUGGGCUAUAUUUGA